GACGAACGCUGGCGGUGUGCUUAACACAUGCAAGUCGAACGGUAAGGCCCUUUCGGGGGUACUCGAGUGGCGAACGGGUGAGUAACACGUGAGUAACCUGCCCUCAUCUCUGGGAUAACAGUCGGAAACGGUUGCUAAUACUGGAUAUGAGCUUGCAAGGAAUCUUGUGGGUUGGAAAGAUUUUUUUGGUUGGGGAUGGACUCGCGGCCUAUCAGCUUGUUGGUGAGGUAGUGGCUCACCAAGGCUUCGACGGGUAGCCGGCCUGAGAGGGCGACCGGCCACAUUGGGACUGAGAUACGGCCCAAACUCCUACGGGAGGCAGCAGUGGGGAAUAUUGCACAAUGGACGGAAGUCUGAUGCAGCAACGCCGCGUGCGGGAUGACGGCCUUCGGGUUGUAAACCGCUUUCAAUUGUGACGAAGCUUUUUGUGACGGUAGCAGUAGAAGAAGCACCGGCUAACUACGUG
RNAcentral lists this ribosomal RNA (466 nucleotides) under uncultured bacterium. RNAcentral's name for it is "partial 16S ribosomal RNA". It matches the Rfam family "Bacterial small subunit ribosomal RNA", at positions 28 to 507 of the family's 1533-position model. The record is from RNAcentral.